UCUACACUCGUCAGAUACUAUAAUCGGUAUACAAAUUUUCAUAUUCUACCAAAAUCCCUUUUCUCGGUUCAUUUUCUCUUCUACAUCUUUCUCUCUACGAUCCCUUUCUCUCUUCUGCAGCAAGUGCGGCGAUGCUCAUUAUUUGAGAUGCAUCUGGCUGUGUUCGCGUUUGCUGCUCUGGUGGAUUGUGGUGGCUCUCGCAGUGGGGAUGGAAGUAGUUCUAGGAAGGUGUAACAGACGCCGUUAAAAGGUUUAUGGAGUUGAUCUCUUUCGACAAACAGCUCUACAAGCAAGACAUAAAAGGGAAGCAUAGCGCAUGCUUUGAUGCUAGCUCACUAUGGUUUGAUGAGCGCGAGCGAGAGAGACUCAAUUAUCGAAGGUUUGGAGGAAAUAGAGAGGCGCAUUAAGAAUGGAGAGUUGAAUUGGAGACUUUGACAGAGAGGAUGUGCACAUGAACAUCGGUGAGCCUGCGAAGAAGCUCCACACUGCUCGGAGUAGGAACGAUAAGAUUUUUACUAACUUUCGCCUCUGGUGCCGCGACGCCAUCAACGAGAUCCUCGUGAGCAUGAAGCAGCUUCAGGAUGAUGUUAGGAUCCUUCGAUCGCUGCCCGUGAAAUUCAUUCGUCAUGCCGACACGGAACCUAUACUGAACAACCCUUCAUCUCUCUUGCCCUUUGAUUUUCCAUUCAUUAUCCAACGUCAAAUUUUGAUACAUUUUCUCUACCUACUUUGAUGCAAUUUUGUUAUGUUUGGUUGAUCUAUUUUGGAUAAAUCUCAGGUAUAUGACGGAGUGUGCCUAAGGGGUUUUAGGACAUUGAGUUCGGGACGUUGCAAUCCAUCCAGAGUUAUUGGGAACUUAUUUCCAAAAGGUAAAUGAUGUAUGAGUGGACGUGAUGGAAAGUGAUCCUAGGAUUGUUCUUUGUGAUGUUGCGGAAAAGCACCUUGCUUCAAUGUUGGUUGUGGCAUCUUAGAAGGACCAAUGUGGUGAUACCCCCAUUUUUAGAGAAUGUAAUUGAAGGUUUCUCUGACAGCUGGUAGUUGCAUCACUGAUUCAGUAGAAUAUUAAGUCACAGUUGAUACUUAGGAAUCCUGAGAAGCCACAGAACUAUUUGGUGAACAAGAUAAGGAGAAACUGCAGGUACUCAAAGGUGACACAAGGAACUAGGAAGAUUUGUAUCCAUCUAUAUUUGAGGGUGUCACACACGUGAUUUGCUGCACCGGAACAACAACAUUUCCUUCAAGGCGUUGAGAUGAUGAUAAUACACCAGAAAGGGUUGGAGGCAGCCUAACCUCGAAUCCAGGGUUUAUUCCGCUGUUUUUAACACUUCCUUAAUGAAGAGAGUUGUUCUUGUGUCAUCAAUAUCAAUAGGUGUGACCAAAUUCAAUGACUUGCCAUGGAGAUUGACAUCAUAUACAAAGAUUGACAUUCAUAUACUGCAUCGAGCUCCAUUAGCAUCUAGGUCUGUAUAACUCUAGUGAUGUUAGGUGUCAAUUUGUAUAUGUAGAAGUUCUCUCUUGUUGAGGGAUAUUUUUUUUCUAAAACACGUGAUUUUGUUGUAAAACACUUGAUUUUGUUGUAGGGACUAUGUAAAACACUUGAUUUCUGAAA
Molecule: long non-coding RNA, 1609 nt
Organism: Vigna angularis (adzuki bean)
Lineage: Eukaryota; Viridiplantae; Streptophyta; Magnoliopsida; Fabales; Fabaceae
Exons: 8
Source: RefSeq, a predicted model, not a curated record